RNAcentral lists this unclassified non-coding RNA (247 nucleotides) under Chaetomiaceae sp. Its description in RNAcentral is "partial contains 5.8S ribosomal RNA, internal transcribed spacer 2, and large subunit ribosomal RNA". The stretch from base 1 to 52 matches the Rfam family "5.8S ribosomal RNA", at positions 103 to 154 of the family's 154-position model. RNAcentral also lists the same sequence under 2 other names. The record is from RNAcentral. Lineage: Eukaryota; Fungi; Ascomycota; Sordariomycetes; Sordariales; Chaetomiaceae.
AACGCACAUUGCGCCCGCCAGUACUCUGGCGGGCAUGCCUGUCCGAGCGUCAUUUCAACCAUCAAGCCCCGUAGCUUGUGUUGGGGACCUGCGGUUGCACGCAGGCCCCGAAAUGCAGUGGCGGGCUCGCUGGCACAACCGAGCGUAGUAGCAUAAACCUCGCUCAGGGCGUGCCUCGGGUUCUAGCCGUAAAGCCUCCUGGCACUAGGUUGGCCUCGGAUCAGGUAGGAAGACCCGCUGAACUUAA